This 430-nucleotide ribosomal RNA is filed under the name uncultured bacterium. Its description in RNAcentral is "bacterial SSU rRNA". It matches the Rfam family "Bacterial small subunit ribosomal RNA", at positions 355 to 776 of the family's 1533-position model. The record is from RNAcentral.
UGGGGAAUAUUGCACAAUGGGCGCAAGCCUGAUGCAGCAACGCCGCGUGAGUGAAGAAGGCCUUCGGGUCGUAAAGCUCUUUCGACAGGGAAGAAGGGUGAUGCGGUGAACAAUCGCGUUGCUUGACGGUACCUGUAUAAGAAGCACUGGCUAACUCCGUGCCAGCAGCCGCGGUAAUACGGAGGGUGCAAGCGUUGUUCGGAUUGACUGGGUGUAAAGCGCACGUAGGCGGAUUUGAAAGUCGAUUGUGAAAUCCUUGGGCUUAACCCAAGAGUGGCAAUCGAAACUCCAAAUCUUGAAUGCUUGAGAGGUUAGCGGAAUUCCAGGUGUAGGAGUGAAAUCCGUAGAUAUCUGGAGGAACACCAGCGGCGAAGGCGGCUAACUGGCGAUGCAUUGACGCUGAGGUGCGAAAGCGUGGGGAGCAAACAGG